This 253-nucleotide ribosomal RNA is filed under the name uncultured bacterium. RNAcentral describes it as "partial 16S ribosomal RNA". It matches the Rfam family "Bacterial small subunit ribosomal RNA", at positions 524 to 776 of the family's 1533-position model. The record is from RNAcentral.
UACGGAGGGUGCAAGCGUUAUCCGGAUUUACUGGGUUUAAAGGGUGCGUAGGUGGGUAGGUAAGUCAGUGGUGAAAUCUUCAAGCUUAACUUGGAAACUGCCAUUGAUACUAUUUAUCUUGAAUACUUUGGAGGUAAGCGGAAUAUGUCAUGUAGCGGUGAAAUGCUUAGAUAUGACAUAGAACACCAAUUGCGAAGGCAGCUGGCUACUCAUAUAUUGACACUGAGGCACGAAAGCGUGGGGAGCAAACAGG